GAUGAACGCUGACAGAAUGCUUAACACAUGCAAGUCGAUGGGGAAGUGGUGCUUGCACCAUGGCAACCAUGGCAGACGGGUGAGUAACGCGUAAGGGACUUACCUGCAGGACUGGGAUAACAGGGGGAAACUCCUGACAAGACCGGAUAAUGUCAUGGAGCUGCAUGGCUUUAUGAUGAAAGGAGACGCCUGCGGAGAGCCUUGCGUCCUAUUAGCUAGUUGGUGAGGUAAUGGCUCACCAAGGCGAAGAUAGGUAGCCGGCCUGAGAGGGUGGACGGCCACAAGGGGACUGAGAUACGGCCCUUACUCCUACGGGAGGCAGCAGUGGGGAAUAUUGGACAAUGGGGGCAACCCUGAUCUAGCAAUUCUGUGUGCACGAAGAAGGUUUUCGGAUUGUAAAGUGCUUUCAGCAGGGAAGAAGUAAGUGACGGUACCUGCAGAAGAAGCGACGGCUAAAUACGU
RNAcentral lists this ribosomal RNA (462 nucleotides) under uncultured bacterium. RNAcentral describes it as "partial 16S ribosomal RNA". It matches the Rfam family "Bacterial small subunit ribosomal RNA", at positions 28 to 506 of the family's 1533-position model. The record is from RNAcentral.